Carassius gibelio (silver crucian carp) is the source of this 1393-nucleotide long non-coding RNA. RefSeq lists it as uncharacterized. Lineage: Eukaryota; Metazoa; Chordata; Actinopteri; Cypriniformes; Cyprinidae. The transcript is spliced from 2 exons. The record is from RefSeq and is a predicted model, not a curated record.
CCGAUUCGAACGUUAUCACUCGAUUGAAUGGGGCGUUAUCAGCAGUUAUCAGCCCAUAGAAAUGGGCCAGGAGGGGCCUCCUGCACCUACUAGUAGGCUCAGAAGGCCGUGAUCAUCCAUCCAAAUGGUUGAUCACCCACAAAUAUACAAGAGAAGACUCCAGAUCCAAUCCCAGAAUUCCUGCUCACCGGUAAUCGGAAGUCUACCGGACGAAUGCGGGAACGUUGCGAUAUUUCCUGCUUAAUAUUUUCAGGCACAAUGAAUGAUAUUAAGGGCAGGUGCGCCACAUUGGGGGAAGAUGCAAAGCAGAAAUACAUUCAAGAGGCAGCAGCACUGAGGGCAUAUGGGCAGGCGCAGGACCUAAACCCUGAGAUGAGGGAUGCCCAAAUUACAAUGCACUUAAAGAAGCUGAAGUUAGAUGUUUGGAAACAGGAUUCAUUUGCUAAGCAUUAGUGGUAUUCUUAAAGUAUUAGAUGGAAGGAUGAUCAACAGCAAUUGUGGUGUGUGCAGAACAUUGUGUUAGACAACUGGAUUGUUUAUCUCUAGUUUUUAUCAUAAUUUCAAAUGAGUUCGUUACAAAAAAAUAUUCCAGCUGAUUUUUGUUUACAAGGCUAUCAACAUCAAAUAUUCUCACAUUGAAGAAAUUGUCAAAGACUCAUACCACCAUAUCAAACUUGAAGCAGCUGAAGAAAAAAGUGGUCAUGAGAUUUGUUAAAUUAAAAUGUAGUUACCCCUCUGUUUCAGGUUUGAUUUACAUCCAUUUCUGAAACGAAAAACCCAGAGUUUUCCUAAAGAUCUGAGAUGAAUUGAUGUACAAUACCCACAUAUUCCUUUGGCAACAGUUAAAAAUGAACAAGCUGCCUUUGAGAUGUUGCUUUAAAUAUAGUGAUGAGUAUGAUUUAAACUAACUGGCUUGACUUUCAAAAUAUUUGUGUUUUUUCUUUGGUAGAUGGAGGCAAUUUGUGCUGUGUCUGCCGCAUCCAUUUUUAUGAUAAGAAGAAGAAUGCAAGAAAGAAGUGGCAUUCAUGGUCUCAGUGCACAGUGUGCCAAUCAUGGUCACACACAGCAUGUGGCUUUAAAAAGAACAUGUGCCUUCACUGUCAGGGUCAAGACACCAUGCAAACACCCUGAAGAUGUAUCUUGUUACUUGUUUGGGUUGUUUUUACUGUGUUGACGGCCCCCAACCCAUCCAUACAAACACACACACACAAUACAUACAUAUGCUGCAAAUUUAUUGUAAUGACCACACUUCACACGUAAGAAGAAAAUUGUGAUCUUUUUGUUAUUUUCAUUCACCCCAUUUUUAUUUAUUAUUGUUGUUUGUUGGCACCAUCAAUGUGUUCUCCUUUAUACAGGACUUAUGUGGGGACCAAUAAAGUUAUAUUGUACUGAA